AUUUUAGUAGCUUAUAAAGAGCAUAGAAUUGAAGGUUCUAGGGAAACAUGUGUUCUAAAAUA
RNAcentral lists this transfer RNA (62 nucleotides) under Trigonopterus kotamobagensis. Its description in RNAcentral is "tRNA-Phe". The record is from RNAcentral. Lineage: Eukaryota; Metazoa; Arthropoda; Insecta; Coleoptera; Curculionidae.